This 354-nucleotide long non-coding RNA is filed under the name Oryza brachyantha (malo sina). RNAcentral's name for it is "long non-coding RNA (OBRA_LNC001807)". Lineage: Eukaryota; Viridiplantae; Streptophyta; Magnoliopsida; Poales; Poaceae. The record is from RNAcentral.
GUUUAGAUAGGGCUAAACUUUUUAGCCUCAUAUCACAUCGAAUGUUUGAACACUAAUUUAAAGUAUUAAACAUGGACUAAUCAAAAAACUAACUUCAUAAAUAAGAGCUAAUCCGCGAGACGAAUUUUUUAAGCCUAAUUAAUCUAUAAUUAGCAAAUGUUUACUGUAGUAUCACAUAUGCUAAUCAUGGAUUAAUUAGGUUCAUUAGAUUCGUCUCGUGAAUUAGUCUAGAAUUAUGAAUAUGUUUUAUUUAUAGACUACGUUUAUUAUUUAUAAUAAGUGUCCAAACAUCCAAUAUGACUAGAAGGCUAAAAUUUAGCCUCUAGAAACAAACAUCCCCUUAGUCUUCGCAGG